This 245-nucleotide ribosomal RNA is filed under the name uncultured bacterium. RNAcentral's name for it is "partial 16S ribosomal RNA". It matches the Rfam family "Bacterial small subunit ribosomal RNA", at positions 88 to 334 of the family's 1533-position model. The record is from RNAcentral.
AUGGCGACCGGCGCACGGGUGAGUAACGCGUAUGCAACCUGCCCGAUACCGGGGUAUAGCCCAUGGAAACGUGGAUUAACGCCCCAUAGUACUUUUAUCCUGCCUGGGAUGGGAGUUAAAUGUUCAAGGUAUCGGAUGGGCAUGCGUCCUAUUAGUUAGUUGGCGGGGUAACAGCCCACCAAGACGAUGAUAGGUAGGGGUUCUGAGAGGAAGGUCCCCCACAUUGGAACUGAGACACGGUCCAA